CCGGACGGGCGGCAGCCGGUGCUGCCUCGGUCCGGCGGGAGCGAAUAUUUGUGUCGAGAGUUGGCUGUUCCGUCCUAUUUUUGUCAGUAGGUGUGCGAGUUUUCACACUGUGUGCUAGGAUGCAGCAAUUUGUCGAUGUCAUUCACAAGGUCAUAUUUGUUGGAGAGAUGAGGCGAAUGCAAAUACUGUCAACAUAUCCUCUGUAGCACUCACUGUCUUCUCUUUAUAGUCACUAACUUCACUAGCUUUACUAACUUCAGUCACAGUGUUGACUGUUGAAGACUGAAGUCACUAACUUCAACACAGCAUCUAUAAUAUCCAUCUUUCUAGAUUCAGCUCGAUCCGCAGCAGCAGAGGGACUUCAGGAUCUAUGCGGUAGACAGAGAACCUAUCAGACAGCUACAAUAGGCAAUAUCUUUCGACAGAUGGAGCAAACCUCCUCCUCUUGACUGGUAGCGGUGGACAGAUUCUAUCGGACAGCUACAGUAGACAGAACCUCUUACCGGUAGCGGUAGACAGAACCUAUCGGACUGCAAGCAGUAGACAGACAGAACCUUUGACAGGACUAUCUGUAAGAAUCUUGGACAGGACCAGGACCUCUGCAGGCCGCGGGAGUGCGCUUUCUCUGGGUAGCUCGGGUGUGUGGGCGCCUUCCUAAGCUGGGUGGCGACUGGGGUGUGCCUCUGAUAGGAAGGCUGUUCAUUCAGCAGUCAGACAUGGUAACGGUGCCCACUGGCGGAAUGAGACGCGAAAUUGGAGAAAGUGGGACGGAAUAAUGAACGGAGCUUGGCGGGACGUCCCAAUCGGUUGACACUUGAGUCACUCGAGGCACUCGAAGGUUAAGUUACGCUUCAAUUAUUGAGCUAAAAGCUGUAUGAACAAUCUCGGUAAAUUUAUCUGUAGACAGGUAGGUACUGUUAUGAUAAAAGGUGAACACCUAACGUUCAUCUCUAAAGUAAACAAUGAAACAUCCAAGACAAAUUUCAUACCUCACGACUAAAGCCCGAUUAGGGUAUCCCUAAAACGCACAAAUAAUUUAGCCGUGGGUGCAAGCUUGUGCAAUGGCCAGUGCCCCCCCUCCCCCUCCCCAAUGCAGUGUGGUUAAAGACCGUGGUAAAACUACAUGCAUGUCCUCAAUAAGAUAACUUGAUUUCACCAUAAUUGUGAUUGCUGGCAUCUCUCCAUGACCUUCUCAACACCUGACACUUCAAACUCCACGCCAUAAGCUGCAUAAACUACAAUGAGGAGUGGGGCGCAGAUCGCUGCUGUAGAGCAGAGUUGUAACUCUGACCGACUGAAGUGUCGUUACGUAAUCGUACCGUCCGGAGCGGAGUACGACGCGUCCUGCCGACAGCCGUCCAGGCACGUUUACGGGCAUUCGCCGUCCAGGGCAGGUGGCUAUCGCAGUUUAGCCGCACGAUCUGUGGUAAUAACCGGGAAGUAUGCCGUGUAAAGCAACAUGGAUCUCAUGACUGGGCAUUGACAGUGCUAAGCGCGUGUAUAGAGUGACCAUGGAGGUGUAAUUAUCGUACACUUCAUCAAUGGUAAAGUGCAUAUGUGUCGCUGAUAGAGAAAAUGUGUAGAAUAGUCAAUCACAAACUUGGCUAGUAGGCGGUUCCACUUCGUUGUAUUUAGAUUGCAGCGAGGCAUGCAUACAUUUUACACAGCUAAGAAUUAUCGCCGCCUUAAUAGUGAAAUGAUGCAUCACGAGUAACUGAAAUAUAGAUCAAAUAUAUGUAUGAAU
Long non-coding RNA from Amphibalanus amphitrite, 1744 nucleotides. RefSeq lists it as uncharacterized. The transcript is spliced from 2 exons. The record is from RefSeq and is a predicted model, not a curated record. Lineage: Eukaryota; Metazoa; Arthropoda; Thecostraca; Balanomorpha; Balanidae.